This 253-nucleotide ribosomal RNA is filed under the name uncultured bacterium. RNAcentral describes it as "partial 16S ribosomal RNA". It matches the Rfam family "Bacterial small subunit ribosomal RNA", at positions 524 to 776 of the family's 1533-position model. The record is from RNAcentral.
UACGUAGGGUGCGAGCGUUACUCGGAAUUACUGGGCGUAAAGCGUGCGCAGGCGGUUUUGUAAGUCAGAUGUGAAAGCCCCGGGCUUAACCUGGGAAUGGCAUUUGGGACUGCAAGGCUCGAGUGCGGCAGAGGAGACUGGAAUUCCUGGUGUAGCAGUGAAAUGCGUAGAUAUCAGGAGGAACACCGAUGGCGAAGGCAGGUCUCUGGGCUGACACUGACGCUCAUGCACGAAAGCGUGGGGAGCAAACAGG